AAUGAGAGUUUGAUCCUGGCUCAGGACGAACGCUGGCGGCGUGCCUAAUACAUGCAAGUCGAACGAAACUUUCUUACACCGAAUGUUUGCAUUCACCGUAAGAAGUUGAGUGGCGGACGGGUGAGUAACACGUGGGUAACCUGCCUAAAAGAAGGGGAUAACACUUGGAAACAGGUGCUAAUACCGUAUAUCUCUAAGGAUCGCAUGAUCCUUAGAUGAAAGAUGGUUCUGCUAUCGCUUUUAGAUGGACCCGCGGCGUAUUAACUAGUUGGUGGGGUAACGGCCUACCAAGGUGAUGAUACGUAGCCGAACUGAGAGGUUGAUCGGCCACAUUGGGACUGAGACACGGCCCAAACUCCUACGGGAGGCAGCAGUAGGGAAUCUUCCACAAUGGACGCAAGUCUGAUGGAGCAACGCCGCGUGAGUGAAGAAGGUCUUCGGAUCGUAAAACUCUGUUGUUAGAGAAGAACACGAGUGAGAGUAACUGUUCAUUCGAUGACGGUAUCUAACCAGCAAGUCACGGCUAACUACGUGCCAGCAGCCGCGGUAAUACGUAGGUGGCAAGCGUUGUCCGGAUUUAUUGGGCGUAAAGGGAACGCAGGCGGUCUUUUAAGUCUGAUGUGAAAGCCUUCGGCUUAACCGGAGUAGUGCAUUGGAAACUGGAAGACUUGAGUGCAGAAGAGGAGAGUGGAACUCCAUGUGUAGCGGUGAAAUGCGUAGAUAUAUGGAAGAACACCAGUGGCGAAAGCGGCUCUCUGGUCUGUAACUGACGCUGAGGUUCGAAAGCGUGGGUAGCAAACAGGAUUAGAUACCCUGGUAGUCCACGCCGUAAACGAUGAAUGCUAGGUGUUGGAGGGUUUCCGCCCUUCAGUGCCGCAGCUAACGCAAUAAGCAUUCCGCCUGGGGAGUACGACCGCAAGGUUGAAACUCAAAGGAAUUGACGGGGGCCCGCACAAGCGGUGGAGCAUGUGGUUUAAUUCGAAGCAACGCGAAGAACCUUACCAGGUCUUGACAUCCUUUGACCACCUAAGAGAUUAGGCUUUCCCUUCGGGGACAAAGUGACAGGUGGUGCAUGGCUGUCGUCAGCUCGUGUCGUGAGAUGUUGGGUUAAGUCCCGCAACGAGCGCAACCCUUGUUGUCAGUUGCCAGCAUUAAGUUGGGCACUCUGGCGAGACUGCCGGUGACAAACCGGAGGAAGGUGGGGACGACGUCAAGUCAUCAUGCCCCUUAUGACCUGGGCUACACACGUGCUACAAUGGACGGUACAACGAGUCGCAAGACCGCGAGGUUUAGCUAAUCUCUUAAAGCCGUUCUCAGUUCGGAUUGUAGGCUGCAACUCGCCUACAUGAAGUCGGAAUCGCUAGUAAUCGCGAAUCAGCAUGUCGCGGUGAAUACGUUCCCGGGCCUUGUACACACCGCCCGUCACACCAUGAGAGUUUGUAACACCCAAAGCCGGUGGGGUAACCGCAAGGAGCCAGCCGUCUAAGGUGGGACAGAUGAUUGGGGUGAAGUCGUAACAAGGUAGCCGUAGGAGAACCUGCGGCUGGAUCACCUCCUU
RNAcentral lists this ribosomal RNA (1558 nucleotides) under Ligilactobacillus salivarius. Its description in RNAcentral is "Bacterial small subunit ribosomal RNA". It matches the Rfam family "Bacterial small subunit ribosomal RNA". The record is from RNAcentral. Lineage: Bacteria; Bacillati; Bacillota; Bacilli; Lactobacillales; Lactobacillaceae.